GCAUUGUGAGGAAUAUGACGAUAUCAACUGCGACAUCUUGUUCACCAGGACUGAUUUAGUAAAUCUGGUUGUCUAGGCAGAUGUCCCCUUCUUCUCUCAUCACUGCGUGUACGGCCCUCCGGUAGCAUGUUCACUCAAAGGUCCGGACCUUGCAGGACAAAGGAGGACUGUUUCUCAGUUCAAGUGCAAGAGUGGCUGGACUCCCCCUACUAGAACCUCCAAACAUGUUCUCAAGAAGUAUUGUGAUUCCAGGACAGCCAGGGCUACAUAAAGAGACCGAGUCUUAAAACAAAACAAACACAGGAGAACAACAGCAUGUGCCAGAGCGUGCCAGCAUGUGCUCCCU
RNAcentral lists this small nuclear RNA (346 nucleotides) under Peromyscus maniculatus bairdii (prairie deer mouse). Its description in RNAcentral is "7SK RNA (ENSPEMG00000007327.2)". The stretch from base 1 to 284 matches the Rfam family "7SK RNA". Rfam says of the family: 7SK was discovered as an abundant small nuclear RNA in the mid-70s but a possible function has only recently been suggested. Two independent studies have found that 7SK RNA binds the CDK9/cyclin T complex (known as elongation factor P-TEFb). Lineage: Eukaryota; Metazoa; Chordata; Mammalia; Rodentia; Cricetidae. The record is from RNAcentral.